GAUCAGCUCCCCUUCUUUUAAGAUAAUUACAGAAGAUUACGAAAUUGUUGCUUAGUGCUAACCGUAACCAAUCAUUUACUACACAAUAUCCGACUUGAAAAUCCAAUUUAAUUUUGUAAACAAAUCUUGUAAUGUAAUUUUAUAAAAUCACAGCCCAGGGACGCUCCAUCAAAGGCAUUUCUACUUGGCGAGAAUGCAAUGAGGAAUGGGACAAGUGCGGUUAUGGCGUAAUAAGCAUCCUAAACAAAACCGGAGGGAGAAGCUGAAGGAUGACUUUCUGCGACGCAAAACUUUCCUUAUCAAUUUUAAGCACAUCUUUACUUUUUGUGAAGAAUAAGCAAAAAAAUAUUGAGUAAAUUCUGGAAAUGUCACUUUAAAUCAUUUUGUUAGGUAAAUUAUACGAAAACUAAACAAAUAAAUUAAAACUUAUUGGAAAGAGGAAAAGCAGCAGAAGUGUAAGAAAAACAACAAAAAGGUCUACAACUAAAUAAAGUAAGAGUACUUGGAA
This is a long non-coding RNA of Stomoxys calcitrans (stable fly), 508 nucleotides long. RefSeq lists it as uncharacterized. The transcript is spliced from 2 exons. The record is from RefSeq and is a predicted model, not a curated record. NCBI's taxonomy places the organism in Eukaryota, Metazoa, Arthropoda, Insecta, Diptera, Muscidae.